CUUUUUAGGGCUACAACUGCAGCAUAUGGAAGUUUCCAGACUAGGGUUGACUUGGAGCUACAGCUGCCGGCUUACACCAGUCACAGUGACGUCAGAUCCAACCAGCAUCUGUGGCCUACACCACAGCUUGUGACAAAGCCAGAUCCUUAACUCACUGAGCAAGGCCAGGGUUAAAACCCACAUCCUCACGGCUAUUAGGCAGGUUCUGGACCGACUGAACCAUAAUUAAUUAAAAUGUGCUAUUUGGGAAGUCUAAAGGUUUCAAAACACUUGGACAAAUAAGAUCAUAGGUCACUGUGGAUAAUACUUUUUCCUUAAGCAGUUACAAGAGAUCUCAUAAGCAAAUACAGAUCACUUAAAGGUGAGGAACUUCACACAAUCUGUUAUCAAAAGCAGCACUCCAAGAGCAUUUUAUUCUCUUGACAGAGCGAAAAUUCGAAGUCAAGUUUUGCACCAGCUUACUUUUAAAAUCAACAUAACCUAAAUUUAGUCCCAACCAUGUACAAAACUCAUUUCUCAGUGUCCACCUCGCACAGCCCUUCCAUCACUCUUAGCAUCCGUAUAAGCCUGUCCCUUGUUUUUUCUAUCCAAAACAAGCUGUGAGACAGAUUUAUUUCCUUUUCCUUAAUAAAAUGCAAUUCCAUUCCUCAUACUUUCUUUACUAAAAACACACAUCCUACUUUCUUUAAGCAACCAUGAACUGUCUUCUGUAUCAGCACUCUGUAGUUAGGUAAACAUAAAUAUCAAUCAUUUCUUUUUUAAAAAAAAAGAAGAAAGUAUAUUCUUAUUGAAAAUAUCUCAGCAUGGCAAACAUAUUCAUAGUUUUAAAUACCUUUAGUUUCUGUAAAAUGAAGCCAAUGUUUAGUAACUAGUUUCAGUAUAUUAUCCUAUCUUAAUUGAUCUAGAUAUUCAUUAAGCAUCCAUCAUUUAACUUACUUUAACACAACUCGGAGUUCCCGUAGUGGCGCAGUGGAAACAAAUCCGACUUGGAAACAUGAGGUUGCAGGUUCGAUCCAUGGCCUCGCUCAGUGGGUUAAGGAUCCAGUGUUUGUGGUCCACGGUGUAGGUCAGAGACGAGGCUCAGAUCUGGCAUUACAAUUCCAUAUGCCACAGGUGCAGCCCUAAAAAGGCCAAAAAAAUAAAAGAAAAUAAAAUAAAAUGAUCUGCAGAAGUCACCCUCAAGUAGAAUUUUCCUUUUUUUUUUUUUUUUCUUUCAGGCCAUACCUUUGGGAAUUUCCCAGGCCAUACCUUUGGGAAGCUUCCCAUAGAAGCUGCAGCUAUUGGGUUACACCACAACCACAGCAACACCAGAUUGUUGUACCAUAAGCGAGGUCAGGGAUCAAACUGCACCCUCAUAUUCAUUAUGUCAGGUUCUUAACAUGCUGAGGCACAAUGAGAACUCUGAAUGCCAGAUCCUUAUUUUGCUGUUCUACCAAGAACAUCUCCAAGUAGACUUAUUAUUAUGUUUUAAUUAGUCAUAAAGAGUUCACCCAAAAGCUUAUUUACAUUUAAUUUACUUAUAAAAGAUUUAUGCAUUGAAUUCCCAUUGUGACUCAGCAGGUUGAGGACCUGAUGUAGUCUCUGUGAGGAUGCGGUUUUGAUCCCUGGCCUCACUCAGUGGGUCAGGGAUUGAACCUGCAAUCUCAUGGUUCCUAGUCGGAUUCAUUAACCACUGAGCCACGAUGGGAACUCCCGUAUUGGGGAAAUAACUUUUUUUAAAAAUUUAAAUUAAAAAAUAAAUAAAAUAUAUGACAGAUCUUUUUGACCAAAAAAAAAAAAAAAAAAAAAAAAA
RNAcentral lists this long non-coding RNA (1792 nucleotides) under Sus scrofa (pig). Its description in RNAcentral is "lncRNA (ENSSSCG00030001598.1)". Lineage: Eukaryota; Metazoa; Chordata; Mammalia; Artiodactyla; Suidae. The record is from RNAcentral.